This 1008-nucleotide ribosomal RNA is filed under the name Triticum aestivum (bread wheat). RNAcentral describes it as "partial small subunit ribosomal RNA". Lineage: Eukaryota; Viridiplantae; Streptophyta; Magnoliopsida; Poales; Poaceae. The record is from RNAcentral.
AUGAAUAUGGAGGUCAUUAAGCUCGAUACUGAUUCUGAUAUCGAACUAUCGGGUGUGUUGACCGACGAGCAAGGGAGAGUUCAAGCACUAUGGGCAAGUAUUUCCAGCCAGCUCUUUGGUUGUGGCAAAGAAGGGGGCCAUCAAUUUGUUGUAGGUAUACCAAUAUACCUGAUAAGUCAAGUCCUUGAGAAGAUAAUCUCUGGUGCUCCUGGACCAUUUCGUCUUAUCAAUGGAAUUAGGAGACCAAUGCCAUUUGUCAGACUUCUGGAGGUGGAGAUUUAUCCAACUUUGCUCGCAGAGGCAAGUAGUUAUGGAUUGAGCGAUAGAUGGGUGCAGGCUCUAGCUAGGAAGGACCCUGAGCGAAGACAAGUAUUGCAAGUUAUUGGUUGCUUUGCUGGAUCGAAAGCGGAAACUCUUCUUGAAGGGGAUAUGAUUCUUGCUAUCGAUAAGAAGCCUAUUACAUGCUUCCUUGACAUUGAGAAUGCUUGCCAAAAGCUGGACCAUUCGGUUGGUUCAGAUGGAAUGCUUAACAUGACAAUAUUUCGCCAGGGAAAAGAAAUAGACCUUAUCGUUGGAACAGAUGUAAGAGACGGUAAUGGUACAACACGUAUGGUGAACUGGUGUGGAUGCAUAGUUCAGAAUCCUCAUUCGGCUGUACGUGCACUUGGUUUCUUGCCAAAGGAAGGCCAUGGAGUUUACGUUUCUAGAGGUUAUGCUGGAAGUCCCAUCCAUAGAUAUGGUCUCUACCCUCUCCAGUGGAUAGUUGAGGUUAACGGGCAACCAACUCCAGAUCUGGAAUCCUUCAUAGAGACGGUGAAGGGAUUGGAAGACGGUGAAUUUUGUAGGGUGAGGACCGUGAAGUUGAAUGGAAAAUCUUGGGUCCUUGCUCUCAAACAGGACCUUCACUACUGGCCAACCUGGGAGCUCAACUUUGAGCCGGAGACUGCAACAUGGCAGAGGAGGACAAUAAAAACAUUGCAACGUGUGAUCCAUUCUAUUGGUAACUAG